CACGUAGGCACCAAGCGUUGUCCGGAAUCAUUGGGCGUAAAGAGCUCGUAGGCGGUUCAGUCAGUCGGGUGUGAAAUCCUUGGGCUUAACCCAAGAACUGCACCAGAUACUGCUGUGACUCGAGUCCGGUAGAGGAGUGUGGAAUUCCUGGUGUAGCGGUGGAAUGCGCAGAUAUCAGGAGGAACGCCAACGGCGAAGGCAGCACUCUGGGCCGGUACUGACGCUGAGGAUCGAAAGCGUCGGGAGCGAACAGG
RNAcentral lists this ribosomal RNA (254 nucleotides) under uncultured bacterium. RNAcentral's name for it is "partial 16S ribosomal RNA". It matches the Rfam family "Bacterial small subunit ribosomal RNA", at positions 524 to 776 of the family's 1533-position model. The record is from RNAcentral.